UCAAAAUCCACGGCUCCAAUCAAACUUUUGAUCAUUUGCCCUAUUAUCUUCUGUGAGUCAUUACGGCGUUUCACGAUAUUUCUCCGAAAAGCAAAUUGUGCAGAAGAUAUUGAGAGUCUGCAGAGGGAUUUUGAAAGGCUGUACAGACACAACAAAUUGCCGAUGAGUACGAACCUGAAUGUCAGGGUUUAUCGCCAACUGCACAGACAGAAUUCAGAGGAAGGGAGAGAGACAGCGAGAAGGAAGAGUGAACCAAUACAGAAGAGGUGGUCGUGGAUGCUAGAAAAAGAUGCACCGUAGAAAGCAUUCUUCGAGGGUGCAUCACAACCUGGUAUGGAAGUUGUCCUGUCCAAGACCGGAAGAAGCUGCAGAAGAUCGUGAACACGGUGCAGCACAUCACACAAACCAAUCUUCCGUCCGUGGACUCACUUUACACCGCACGCUGUCGGAGCAGUGCUGCCAGGAUAAUCAAGGACAUGACCCACCCAGCCAACACACUUUUCAUCCCUCUUCCCUCCGGGAGAAGGCUCAGGAGCUUGAAGACUCAUACAGCCAGAUUUGGAAACAGCUUCUUUCCAACUGUGAUAAGACUGCUGAACAGAUCCUGACCUGGAUUUGGGCCAUACCCCUCCAAAUAUCCAGACCUGCAUCUCGGAUUUUUUUUGCACUACCUUACUUUCCAUUUUUCUAUUUUCUAUUUAUGAUUUAUAAUUUAAAUUUUUAAUAUUUACUAUCGAUUUGUAAUCCAGGGAGCGAGAAGCGCAGAAUCAAAUAUCGCUGUGAUGAUUGUACGUUCUUGUAUCAAUUGUUUGGCGACAAUAAAGUAUAAAGUAUAAAUUUAUUAUCAAAGUACAUAUAUGUUACCAUAUACUACCCUGAUGAAUUUCUUUAAUCCCCAUACUAGACUAAGGGCCUUUCGGUCAGUCUGUGUGUAGUUGUGAUCUGUGCUCGUCAGUGAUCUUGAAGCAAAUGCAAUUGGACGUUCAGAUUCAUCUUUCAUUGGUGUUACAAAGUGGCAAUGCCACAAGGGGAUGCAUUGCAUGCCAGUCUGAUGGGCAGGGAUGGGUCAUAAUGGGUGAGCAAUUCAUCAGAUGUUACUAGUCUGUUUGUUUCCUUGAAUGCUCUUUCACAUCUUUCUGACUAUUCCCACUUUGCUCCUGUCUGUAACAGUACAUUCAAUGGGUGCAGCACCGUAGCCACAGCGGGGGCGGAGGGGGGCGAUGUACCUCUUGAAAACAGGUUCACCCUCUUGGAAACUGUCGGGACAGAAGACAUUGCCAGUCUGAGCGGCGGUCAGGACUGCGAGUCAACAAUUGGCGCUGAAACAAAGCCGAGGAGACAGACGUCAGGCAGAGCCGUGGUAGUAGGGGACUCCAUAGUGAGAGGUACAGAAAGGGGUUUCUGCGGCAACAGGCGGGAUUUAAGGAUGGUGUGUUGCCUCCCUGGUGCCAGGAUUCAGGACGUCACGGACCGAUUGCAAGGAAUCCUCAAGGGUGAAGGUGAACAGCCAGAAGUGGUGGUGCAUGUGGGCACAAAUGACGUGGGGAAGAAGAAGAGAGACAUUUUGCAACAUGACUUCAGAGAACUCGGAAGAAGGCUGAAAAACAGGACCUCUAGGGUGGUUAUCUCCGGUUUGCUUCCAGUUCCCCGUGCUGGUGAGGGCAGGAACAGGGAGGUGUGGGAUCUGAAUGUGUGGCUGAGGAGCUGGUGCGGGAAGCAGGGAUUUGGAUUCUUGGACCACUGGGAUCUGUUUUGGGGUAAGGAUGAAUUGUACACAAGGGACGGGUUGCACCUUAACAGGCUGGGGACCAGCAUUCUGGCAGGCAGGUUUGCCCCUGCUACACUGGUGUGUUUAAACUAAAUAGUGGGGGGGGAGGAGAGGAAAUAUAAGGAUGGAGUUAAAGGGAAAGAGAGAAUAAGGAAAGUUAAGAAAGACAACAGAAUUAACGGGGCAGAAAGCUCAGGAAGGGAUCGGAGAGUAUGGCCAAGUGCAAUAGGAAUCCAUGUGAAAGGUGAGGGGAGUACUGUAAUGGAUUAAAAGUAUUAUAUAUGAAUGCACGGAGUAUAAGAAAUAAAGUGGAUGAGCUUGAGGCUCAGUUGGAAAUUGGCAAGUAUGAUGUUGUAGGAAUAACAGAGACAUGGCUGCAGCAAGAGGACCAGGGCUAGGAAAUGAAUAUUCAAGCGUAUACGUCCUAUCGAAAGGACAGACAGGUGAGCAGAGGGGGUGGGGUGGCUCUGUUGGUGAGGAAUGAUAUUCAGUCCCUUGCGAGGGGCGACAUAGAAUCAGGAGAUGUAGAGUCAGUAUGGAUAGAACUGAGAAAUUGUAAGGGCAAAAAGACCCUAAUGGGAGUCAUCUACAGGCUCCCAAACAGUAGCCUGGAUGUAGGGUGUAAUUUGAAUCAAGAGUUAAAAUUGGCAUGUCGCAAAGGUUGUUAUGGGGGAUUUCAACAUGCAGUAGAUUGGGAAAAUCAGGUUGGUACUGGACCCCAAGAAAGGGAGUUUGUGGAGUGCCUCUGAGAUGGAUUCUUAGAGCAGCUUGUACUGGAACCUACCAGGGAGAAGGCAAUUCUGGAUUUAGUGUUGUGUAAUGAACCAGAUUUGAUAAGGGAACUCGAGAUAAAGGAGCCAUUAGGAGGUAGUGACCAUAAUAUGAUGUUUUCAAAUACAAUUUGAGAGGGAGAAGGGAAAAUCGGAAGUGUCAGUAUUGCAGUUGAACAAAGGGGACUAUGGAGCCAUGAGGGAGGGGCUGGCCAAAGUUGACUGGAAAGAUCCCCUAGCAGGGAUGACAGUGGAACAACAAUGGCAGGUACUUCUGGGAAGGUGCAGGAUCAGUUCAUUCUAAAGAGGAAGAAAGAUUCUAAGGGGAGUAAGGGACGACCAUGGAUGACAAGGGAAGUCAAGCACAGUAUAAAAAUAAAAGAGAAGAAGUAUAACAUAGCAAAGAUGAGCGGAAAGCCAGAGGAUUAGGAGACUUUUAAAGAGCAACAGAGGAUAGCUACCCUAAAAAGGCUAUACAGGGAGAAAAGAUGAGAUACAAAGGCAAGCUAGCCAAGAAUAUAAAGGAGGAUAGAGAAAGCUUCUUUAGCUAUGUGAAGAGGAAAAAAUUAGUUAAGACCAAAGUUGGACCCUUGAAGACAGAAAUGGGUGAAUUUUUCUGGGGAACAAGAAAAUGGCAGACGAGUUGAACAGGUACUUUGGAUCUGUUUUCACUGGGAAAGACACAAACAAUCUCCCAGAUGUAAUAGUGGCCGGAGGACCUAGGGUAACGGAGGAACUGAAGGAGAUUCAUAUUAGGCAGAAGAUGGUGUUGGAUAGACUGAUGGAACUGAAGGCUGAUAAAUCCCCAGGGCCUGAUGGUCUGCACCCCAGGGUACUUAAGGAGGUGGCUCUAGAAAUUGUGGACGCAUUGGUGAUCAUUUUUCAAUGUUCUAUAGAUUCAGGAUCAGUUCCUGUGGAUUGGAGGGUAGCUAAUGUUACCCCACUUUUUAAGAAGGGCGGGAGAGAGAAAACAGGGAAUUAUAGACCAGUUAACCUGACAUCAGUGGUGGGGAAGAUGCUAGAGUCAAUUAUAAAAAAUGAAAUUACGACACAUCUGGAUAGCAGUAACAGGAUUGGUCCGAGUCAGCAUGGAUUUACGAAGGGGAAGUCAUGCUUGACUAAUCUUCUGGAUUUUUUUUAGGGUGUAACUAGGAAAAUGGACAAGGGAGAGCCAGUGUACCUGGACUUUCAGAAAGCCUUUGAUAAGGUCCCACAUAGGAGAUUAGUGGGCAAAAUUAGAGCACAUGGUUAUGGGGGUAGGGUACUGACAUGGAUUGUAAAUUGGUUGGCAGACAGGAAACAAAGAGUAGGGAUUAAUGGGUCCCUUUCGGAAUGGCGGGCGGUGAUUUGCAUCACUCUGUAAUCGCAAUUCCUCUUGUGAAUGCUGUAUGUGCUCAUUAGAUAGCAGUGCCACAAACUGCUUUUCUUCACUAAUUUUUGUCACAUGGAUUUUAAGUAAUUGCAUUACCUCAAUUACGUUGAUUUCAUCUGCAUCAUUUGUAAGACUAAAAUCUUCUUCAAGAAUAUUAAUUAUCGCAUGCUUAACUUCUAAAAUUGCUGUUUUUCAAGUCUAUCUGCUAUUUCCAAGUUCUUUUCUUGAAUCAAAGCCUGUAGUUGUUUACUGAGAUCUUGAAGUUCUUCCUCAUUUGUUUCCAUGUUUUCAUUUUUUAAUCUGAAUGUAGAUGAUUCACUUUGCAACAAACUCCUUUUUCCUUUUUUAACUUCAGAAUAAGUUCCUCCAUUUUUAAAAUCUGUUUUCCAUGUCACUGAAUUUUUGACAACAAGCAUCUUUUUCAGAAACCGUCUCCUUUAAAUGCAGUACUGUUUUGUCCAAUCUCUUUCCAACUGACAGUUGUUCUUAUUGAGUACUUCUAUUUGUUGAUGGAGUUCUGCACAUUUACCCUGGGUUUCAACCAUGUUUCUUGUAUACAUAAAAUCUGAGGUUUUUCCUUAAGUUCUGAUACAUAUUUCAUAAAUUCUUGACCAUUUGCGAUAAGACUCCUUGCAUUCCAUUGUAAUAUAUGUGUGUGUGUGUAUAUAUACACAUACACACUGCCAUUAAUUUCCCGCCUCUCCUGCCUGUGAACUGUUUGAUCCUCCAUUCAGCAUUUCUUUGACUACUUCCCAUCUAAGCCCUGUAAUACCAAGAUACUUUUCUGCAGACUUGACUAUAAUUUUAAUUUUUUCAGUUCUUUUGUCUGUUUGCACUGAACAGUUAAUUGCAUCUACCGUAACCAGUACAAAAUCCUUCUUACUCAUUAUUAGUGUAUCCUUAUUUAUCAUAUUACAGCCCUCACAGUUCACCGGUUUAUUAUUCCCUGUAUUUGUUUGCUUGAUAGCCUUCUCCUUUUCAGCAAAUACUUUCACUGCCUCUGUGUAACUGAUCCAUUGAGUUACUUUUACAUAUUGUAUCUCAGCUUCUUUCUUGCUUUUAAUGCACCCUCGGUAAGCUGCACUGUGUUCCUCACCACAAUUACAGCAUUUCAGCCUAGCUCACGCCUCAUAUUUCCCGUAUUCAUGUUCUCCAGCGCAUCUCCCACAUCUUUGUUUCCCUCUGCAGACCACUGCAAUAUGCCCGAAUUUCUGACAUUUAAAGCAUCUUAAAGGCGGUGGUAUACAUAUAUUCUGACCUCAUAACACAUAUACCCUAAAUAAACUUUAGUCGGCAAUCUCUCUUCAUCAAAGUUAAUCAUAACCGAUAAACUAUCACUUACAAACGUUUGGCCUCAAUCAUUUUUGCUCCUUUUAUGUUCUAUUUAAUCUCAUCCAUAGUAACUUUUGUUGAUAUCCCCAAAAUAACUCCUCUAGUCCACUUACUAUUGUUGGAUAUUGAGCAUUGUACUUUUUUGCCGUCUAUUGUAUUUAAUCUUAUCCCUUUGUCUUGCUGAGCACUUCCUGACAAAUCACUAAUAGCGAUCCAUUUCGUAAAAUCUUUGCUCUUUUGACUUCGCCUAUAAGUUUGUUGAUUAUCUUCGUCAAAUGAAUCUGGUUCCAUUCACCAAAAGACGCUCCGUCUUCGCUCAGUUUUAUAAUUGCUCUAAUCUCAUCUUCUUUCCGUUGUUUUGCUAUCCUAUCUUGUUUGUCCCCUAACUCCUCAGAGUUUGACAUCUCAUACCUCUGCUUUCUUUUCUUACUCUCUCCACUCCAUUCCUCUUUCCCGCCACCCUCCAUCUCGAACUCACUUCCGCUAUC
Mobula hypostoma (lesser devil ray) is the source of this 5730-nucleotide long non-coding RNA. RefSeq lists it as uncharacterized. The transcript has 3 exons. Lineage: Eukaryota; Metazoa; Chordata; Chondrichthyes; Myliobatiformes; Myliobatidae. The record is from RefSeq and is a predicted model, not a curated record.